GACAGAGGGUGCAAACGUUGUUCGGAAUUACUGGGCGUAAAGCGCGUGUAGGCGGCUAAGUAAGUCGGGCGUGAAAUCCCACGGCUCAACCGUGGAAGUGCACUCGAAACUGCAUAGCUAGAGUCCUGGAGAGGAAGGUGGAAUGCUUGGUGUAGAGGUGAAAUUCGUAGAUAUCAAGCGGAACACCGGUGGCGAAGGCGGCCUUCUGGACAGUGACUGACGCUGAGACGCGAAAGCGUGGGGA
Molecule: ribosomal RNA, 244 nt
Filed under: uncultured bacterium
Lineage: Bacteria
Description: partial 16S ribosomal RNA
Rfam family: Bacterial small subunit ribosomal RNA
Source: RNAcentral